GACGAACGCUGGCGGCGUGCUUAACACAUGCAAGUCGAGCGGUAAGGCCCUUUCGGGGGUACACGAGCGGCGAACGGGUGAGUAACACGUGGGUGACCUGCCCUUAGCUCUGGGAUAAGCCUGGGAAACUGGGUCUAAUACCGGAUAUGACUCCACGACGCAUGUUGUGGGGUGGAAAGCCUUGUGCGGCUAGGGAUGGGCCUGCGGCCUAUCAGCUUGUUGGUGGGGUGAUGGCCACCAAGGCGACGACGGGUAGCCGGCCUGAGAGGGCGACCGGCCACACUGGGACUGAGACACGGCCCAGACUCCUACGGGAGGCAGCAGUGGGGAAUCUUGCGCAAUGGGCGAAAGCCUGACGCAGCGACGCCGCGUGGGGAUGACGGCCUC
Molecule: ribosomal RNA, 387 nt
Filed under: uncultured bacterium
Lineage: Bacteria
Description: bacterial SSU rRNA
Rfam family: Bacterial small subunit ribosomal RNA
Source: RNAcentral